This 253-nucleotide ribosomal RNA is filed under the name uncultured bacterium. Its description in RNAcentral is "partial 16S ribosomal RNA". It matches the Rfam family "Bacterial small subunit ribosomal RNA", at positions 524 to 776 of the family's 1533-position model. The record is from RNAcentral.
UACGUAGGUGGCAAGCGUUGUCCGGAUUCAUUGGGUUUAAAGGGUGCGUAGGCGGUCUAAUAAGUCAGUGCUGAAAUAUCCCGGCUUAACCGGGAGGGUGGCAUUGAUACUGUUGGACUUGAGUAGAGUUGAGGUUGGCGGAAUUGACGGUGUAGCGGUGAAAUGCUUAGAUAUCGUCAAGAACACCGAUAGUGAAGACAGCUAACUAAGCUCAAACUGACGCUGAGGCACGAAAGCGUGGGGAGCAAACAGG